RNAcentral lists this ribosomal RNA (443 nucleotides) under Lactiplantibacillus plantarum. Its description in RNAcentral is "bacterial SSU rRNA". It matches the Rfam family "Bacterial small subunit ribosomal RNA", at positions 29 to 440 of the family's 1533-position model. The record is from RNAcentral. Lineage: Bacteria; Bacillati; Bacillota; Bacilli; Lactobacillales; Lactobacillaceae.
ACGAACUCUGGCGGCGUGCCUAAUACAUGCAAGUCGAACGAACUCUGGUAUUGAUUGGUGCUUGCAUCAUGAUUUACAUUUGAGUGAGUGGCGAACUGGUGAGUAACACGUGGGAAACCUGCCCAGAAGCGGGGGAUAACACCUGGAAACAGAUGCUAAUACCGCAUAACAACUUGGACCGCAUGGUCCGAGCUUGAAAGAUGGCUUCGGCUAUCACUUUUGGAUGGUCCCGCGGCGUAUUAGCUAGAUGGUGGGGUAACGGCUCACCAUGGCAAUGAUACGUAGCCGACCUGAGAGGGUAAUCGGCCACAUUGGGACUGAGACACGGCCCAAACUCUACGGGAGGCAGCAGUAGGGAAUCUUCCACAAUGGACGAAAGUCUGAUGGGAGCAAACGCGGCGUGAGUGGAAGGAAAGGCUUUCGGCUGGUAAAAGUCUGUUGGU